This 1261-nucleotide long non-coding RNA is filed under the name Papio anubis (olive baboon). Its description in RNAcentral is "lncRNA (ENSPANG00000041356.1)". Lineage: Eukaryota; Metazoa; Chordata; Mammalia; Primates; Cercopithecidae. The record is from RNAcentral.
AAAGAAUUUCUCCAGUCUGGAAAAAUAAAUUUACUUAAAAAAGGUAUGGAGUAUAUAAUUUCAACAAUAAAGUGAAUUCACUAAGGGAAAAGGAUAAAAUCAUAAAGAGGAGCACUUAGCAGUAGCAAAAAUUGCUAGCUCAGCAGCAGGACUGAGUGCGUUUGCUCACAAAUUCACCUGGUAUGGCAGGGAUCAGUUGAGAAGAAAGAGGCAGCUGCAUUGAAGGGUUUCGGGAGGUAUGUGCACUGGGACCAAAGCACUGGGAGCUUAAGACUGAGAUCUGUAUUCACAUGAGAAUAAAAUUGACAGGAUCAGAGGUAUGAAGAGGUCACGGGAGUUAAGUUUACAUAUUCAAACAAUUUAUUAUUUGAUUUUGUUUGCCUGGGUUAUAGUGACCUUGACACAGACCAAAUGUGGAAAGACAGACAGCGGAUUCAUCUGGGUUUUUCGACUGGACCAAGCAUUAACUAAGAUCUGAAGAGUAACUGAACAGGAUUUUUUAUUUGACUGCAUUUGCGAGGCUGGCACCCACAGAGACAUAGACUUUUCAUUUAAAAUUCAGCCCUUCUGUGAGAUGCUGAGUGAUGUUCUUGGAACCAGACAAAAUUGACCGGAAUUUGUGAAAAGGUAAUCAACUAUUCCUUGCCUACUGAAACCAGUGAAUAUAUGUACACACUGCUUUGAGAAUCUGUUCUUUUUGUUACAGAACAGAUGUCUGGGAGGUUUUUGGCAGGCCCCACUCUGUCAAACAGUCCGGUUUUGACAGCUACUUGCUUGAGGGAUGGCUGAAAUGCAAAGUAUUUCUGAUCAGAAUAUUAUAUUCAUCUGGAUGUUAAUUACUGUGUCUGCCUUGGUAUAAAUAAUUAAUUAUGCAAAACCCACACAGCUGCUGCUGGACAGAGUUAAGUGACUUGCUGUCAAAGUCUCACAGUUCUGGAAGGAAAGGAGGAUUUAGUAAAACAUGCGCUGUAACAGAGAAUAUGGUAUGAGGAUUUUCUUGUCAGGAUCCUUCUUUCGUUGAAUAAAAGACCGUUAUACCACAGCGUGGCGUGUGUGUGUGUGUGUGUGUUUUAAAUAAAGAAAUAGCUCCUAAUUUACUUUAAGUUGGCCCUGAAAACAACUCUCUUUUCUAGUUAUUAAGUAGUUUUCUAGGAAUUCACAUACCACAUUAUUAGAGAACCGUUACCAGUUGAACUCCUAAAUCUCUCCUGUUUUCAUCACAUUCAUAAGUCUCAACAGUUCAAAAUAUCCCAUGGAAUUG